RNAcentral lists this long non-coding RNA (315 nucleotides) under Carica papaya (papaya). Its description in RNAcentral is "long non-coding RNA (CPAP_LNC015423)". Lineage: Eukaryota; Viridiplantae; Streptophyta; Magnoliopsida; Brassicales; Caricaceae. The record is from RNAcentral.
UCUGGGUGUUAAACCAUGAUUCAAGGGCAUUUAGCGUGAGUCAAAUUCAUGAAAAGUUUUGUAAGUAAUUUUGCUUCUCUAACCCGAAGUGACUUUAGGAUUUCUUUUAUGGAUUUUUGGUUAACCUUGAUGUUGGAAGUUUGAUGUGGUGCAGGUACACGUGAGUCAUUAGGAAUAGGGCUUGGGCACUUUCUACGUGGUGCAAACCAUCGGGACAAAGCACCAGCUUGUUAAUUUCCAGCAUGUUUGGGUUGAUUAAAAAUUCCUUGAUUUCCAUUUGUUAAUUCUAUUGCAUUUUUUAUAUUUUAUCGUGUG